GACGAACGCUGGCGGCGUGCUUAACACAUGCAAGUCGAACGGAAAGGCCCUGCUUUUGUGGGGUGCUCGAGUGGCGAACGGGUGAGUAACACGUGAGUAACCUGCCCUUGACUUUGGGAUAACUUCAGGAAACUGGGGCUAAUACCGGAUAGGAGCUCCUGCUGCAGGGUGGGGGUUGGAAAGUUUCGGCGGUUGGGGAUGGACUCGCGGCUUAUCAGCUUGUUGGUGGGGUAGUGGCUUACCAAGGCUUUGACGGGUAGCCGGCCUGAGAGGGUGACCGGCCACAUUGGGACUGAGAUACGGCCCAGACUCCUACGGGAGGCAGCAGUGGGGAAUCUUGCACAAUGGGCGGAAGCCUGAUGCAGCACCGCCGCGUGCGGGAUGACGGCCUUCGGGUUGUAAACCGCUUUCGCCUGUGACGAAGCGUGAGUGACGGUAAUGGGUAAAGAAGCACCGGCUAACUACGUG
This 468-nucleotide ribosomal RNA is filed under the name uncultured bacterium. RNAcentral's name for it is "partial 16S ribosomal RNA". It matches the Rfam family "Bacterial small subunit ribosomal RNA", at positions 28 to 507 of the family's 1533-position model. The record is from RNAcentral.